This 608-nucleotide ribosomal RNA is filed under the name Coprinopsis vermiculifer. RNAcentral describes it as "eukaryotic LSU rRNA". It matches the Rfam family "Eukaryotic large subunit ribosomal RNA", at positions 1 to 607 of the family's 3401-position model. Lineage: Eukaryota; Fungi; Basidiomycota; Agaricomycetes; Agaricales; Psathyrellaceae. The record is from RNAcentral.
UUGACCUCAAAUCAGGUAAGACUACCCGCUGAACUUAAGCAUAUCAAUAAGCGGAGGAAAAGAAACUAACAAGGAUUCCCCUAGUAACUGCGAGUGAAGCGGGAAAAGCUCAAAUUUAAAAUCUGGUAGUCUUUGGCUGCCCGAGUUGUAAUCUAGAGAAGUGUUACCCGUGCUGGACCGUGUACAAGUCUCCUGGAAUGGAGCGUCAUAGAGGGUGAGAAUCCCGUCUUUGACACGGACUCCCAGUGCUUUUGUGGUGCGCUCUCAACGAGUCGAGUUGUUUGGGAAUGCAGCUCAAAAUGGGUGGUGAAUUCCAUCUAAAGCUAAAUAUUGGCGAGAGACCGAUAGCGAACAAGUACCGUGAGGGAAAGAUGAAAAGAACUUUGGAAAGAGAGUUAAACAGUACGUGAAAUUGUUGAAAGGGAAACGCUUGAAGUCAGUCGCGUUGUCCAGAAAUCAACCUUGGUUCUCCUGGGUGUACUUUCUGGUUAACGGGCCAGCAUCAGUUUUGACCGGUGGAGAAAGUCCAAGGGAAUGUGGCAUCUUCGGAUGUGUUAUAGCCCUUGGUCGUAUGCACCGGUUGGGACUGAGGAAUUCAGCACGCCGCA